RNAcentral lists this transfer RNA (71 nucleotides) under Deltaproteobacteria bacterium. RNAcentral describes it as "tRNA-Phe". It matches the Rfam family "tRNA". From Rfam's summary of the family: Transfer RNA (tRNA) molecules are approximately 80 nucleotides in length. The record is from RNAcentral. Lineage: Bacteria; Pseudomonadati; Myxococcota; Myxococcia.
GGUUCGGCAGCUCGAGGGUCGAGCGUCCGGUUGAAGCCCGGAAUGUGAAGGUUCGAGUCCUUCCCGAACCA